CGAACGGGUGAGUAACGCGUGAGCAACCUGCCUAUGACAGUGGGAUAGCCUCGGGAAACCGGGAUUAAUACCGCAUAAAAUCGUAGAAACACAUGUUUUAACGGCCAAAGAUUUAUCGGUCAUAGAUGGGCUCGCGUCUGAUUAGCUAGUUGGUGAGAUAACAGCCCACCAAGGCGACGAUCAGUAGCCGGUCUGAGAGGAUGAACGGCCACAUUGGAACUGAGACACGGUCCAA
Molecule: ribosomal RNA, 235 nt
Filed under: uncultured Eubacteriales bacterium
Lineage: Bacteria; Bacillati; Bacillota; Clostridia; Eubacteriales
Description: uncultured Clostridiales bacterium partial 16S ribosomal RNA
Rfam family: Bacterial small subunit ribosomal RNA
Source: RNAcentral